RNAcentral lists this ribosomal RNA (356 nucleotides) under uncultured bacterium. RNAcentral's name for it is "bacterial SSU rRNA". It matches the Rfam family "Bacterial small subunit ribosomal RNA", at positions 917 to 1267 of the family's 1533-position model. The record is from RNAcentral.
GGGCUCACACAAGCGGUGGAGGAUGUGGCUUAAUUCGAGGCUACGCGAAGAACCUUAUCCUAGUCUUGACAUGUAUGGAUUAACCCUGUGAAAGCAGGGCCACGCCUUCGGGUGGAACAUACACAGGUGCUGCAUGGCUGUCGUCAGCUCGUGUCGUGAGAUGUCGCGUUAAGUCGCUUAACGAGCGAAACCCUUGUCUCUAGUUGCCAGCGCGUAAUGGCGGGGACUCUAGAGAGACCGCCGGCGUUAAGCCGGAGGAAGGUGGGGAUGACGUCAAGUCCUCAUGGCCCUUAUGACUAGGGCUGCACACGUCCUACAAUGGAACGCACAAAGGGAUGCGAAACCGCGAGGUCAAG